This 566-nucleotide ribosomal RNA is filed under the name uncultured archaeon. Its description in RNAcentral is "bacterial SSU rRNA". It matches the Rfam family "Archaeal small subunit ribosomal RNA", at positions 313 to 879 of the family's 1478-position model. The record is from RNAcentral.
GCGAUUCGCCCUUCGGGGUGCAGCAGGCGCGAAAACUUUACAAUGCGGGAAACCGUGAUAAGGGGACACCGAGUGCCAGCAUCAUAUGCUGGCUGUCCAGGUGUGUAAAAUACACCUGUUAGCAAGGGCCGGGCAAGACCGGUGCCAGCCGCCGCGGUAACACCGGCGGCCCGAGUGGUGAUCGUGAUUAUUGGGUCUAAAGGGUCCGUAGCCGGUUUGGUCAGUCCUCCGGGAAAUCUGACGGCUCAACCGUUAGGCCUUCGGGGGAUACUGCCAGGCUUGGAACCGGGAGAGGUAAGAGGUACUACAGGGGUAGGAGUGAAAUCUUGUAAUCCCUGUGAGACCACCUGUGGCGAAGGCGUCUUACCAGAACGGGUUCGACGGUGAGGGACGAAAGCUGGGGGCACGAACCGGAUUAGAUACCCGGGUAGUCCCAGCCGUAAACGAUGCUCGCUAGGUGUCAGGCAUGGCGCGACCGUGUCUGGUGCCGCAGGGAAGCCGUGAAGCGAGCCACCUGGGAAGUACGGCCGCAAGGCUGAAACUUAAAGGAAUUGGCGGGGGAGCAC